Molecule: ribosomal RNA, 380 nt
Filed under: uncultured bacterium
Lineage: Bacteria
Description: bacterial SSU rRNA
Rfam family: Bacterial small subunit ribosomal RNA
Source: RNAcentral
CCUACGGGAGGCAGCAGUGGGGAAUAUUGCACAAUGGGGGGAACCCUGAUGCAGCGACGCCGCGUGAAGGAAGAAGUAUCUCGGUAUGUAAACUUCUAUCAGCAGGGAAGAAAAUGACGGUACCUGACUAAGAAGCCCCGGCUAACUACGUGCCAGCAGCCGCGGUAAUACGUAGGGGGCAAGCGUUAUCCGGAUUUACUGGGUGUAAAGGGAGCGUAGACGGAGGAAAGUCUGAUGUGAAAGGCUGGGGCUCAACCCCGGGACUGCAUUGGAAACUGCCCGUCUUGAGUGCCGGAGAGGUAAGCGGAAUUCCUAGUGUAGCGGUGAAAUGCGUAGAUAUUAGGAGGAACACCAGUGGCGAAGGCGGCUUACUGAACGGU